Molecule: transfer RNA, 76 nt
Filed under: Chloroflexota bacterium
Lineage: Bacteria; Bacillati; Chloroflexota
Also listed under: 2 other names
Description: tRNA-Gly
Rfam family: tRNA
About the family: Transfer RNA (tRNA) molecules are approximately 80 nucleotides in length. Their secondary structure includes four short double-helical elements and three loops (D, anti-codon, and T loops). Further hydrogen bonds mediate the characteristic L-shaped molecular structure. tRNAs have two regions of fundamental functional importance: the anti-codon, which is responsible for specific mRNA codon recognition, and the 3' end, to which the tRNAs corresponding amino acid is attached (by aminoacyl-tRNA synthetases). tRNAs cope with the degeneracy of the genetic code in two manners: having more than one tRNA (with a specific anti-codon) for a particular amino acid; and 'wobble' base-pairing, i.e. permitting non-standard base-pairing at the 3rd anti-codon position.
Source: RNAcentral
GCGGGAGUAACUCAGCUGGCAGAGUGUCUGCUUCCCAAGCAGAAUGUCGCGGGUUCGAGUCCCGUCUCCCGCUCCA